UUUAAAUCGUUAUGCACCUGCCCCAACCCCCUGGUACAUAGGUUACCUCACAUUUACACUUUGCUUCAGUCUCAUCCAUUGGUCCCGCCAUGCUCCUAUGCUGGGAAAUGGGAGACAUGUCUAUGCCCAGUGGCAGAAGGUUUUUUACUUAACUCACUACUGCUCGAUCUCCAGGAAAACCCCACGGAAUGCAUAUAAACUAAUGUAACUGUGGUACC
Molecule: non-coding RNA, 218 nt
Organism: Pelobates cultripes (western spadefoot toad)
Lineage: Eukaryota; Metazoa; Chordata; Amphibia; Anura; Pelobatidae
Source: the annotation of a GenBank genome assembly